GACAGCGUAGUGAAGUGGUUUGAGCACUGGUCUACGAUUCUGGAGACCAGGGUUCGAAUCCCUGCUCGGCCA
Molecule: non-coding RNA, 72 nt
Organism: Phrynosoma platyrhinos (Desert horned lizard)
Lineage: Eukaryota; Metazoa; Chordata; Lepidosauria; Squamata; Phrynosomatidae
Source: the annotation of a GenBank genome assembly